This 429-nucleotide ribosomal RNA is filed under the name Chloroflexota bacterium. RNAcentral's name for it is "Chloroflexi bacterium partial 16S ribosomal RNA". It matches the Rfam family "Bacterial small subunit ribosomal RNA", at positions 355 to 776 of the family's 1533-position model. The record is from RNAcentral. Lineage: Bacteria; Bacillati; Chloroflexota.
UAGGGAAUCUUCGGCAAUGGACGAAAGUCUGACCGAGCAACGCCGCGUGAGUGAAGAAGGUUUUCGGAUCGUAAAACUCUGUUGUUAGAGAAGAACAAGGACGUUAGUAACUGAACGUCCCCUGACGGUAUCUAACCAGAAAGCCACGGCUAACUACGUGCCAGCAGCCGCGGUAAUACGUAGGUGGCAAGCGUUGUCCGGAUUUAUUGGGCGUAAAGCGAGCGCAGGCGGUUUCUUAAGUCUGAUGUGAAAGCCCCCGGCUCAACCGGGGAGGGUCAUUGGAAACUGGGAGACUUGAGUGCAGAAGAGGAGAGUGGAAUUCCAUGUGUAGCGGUGAAAUGCGUAGAUAUAUGGAGGAACACCAGUGGCGAAGGCGGCCCCCUGGACAAAGACUGACGCUCAGGUGCGAAAGCGUGGGGAGCAAACAGG